This 47-nucleotide non-coding RNA is filed under the name Pelecanus crispus (Dalmatian pelican). Lineage: Eukaryota; Metazoa; Chordata; Aves; Pelecaniformes; Pelecanidae. The record is from RNAcentral.
UGACAGGGACGGCCCUGUCACCCUCCCGGGCACUGGGGACAGCCCUG